Molecule: long non-coding RNA, 1011 nt
Organism: Felis catus (domestic cat)
Lineage: Eukaryota; Metazoa; Chordata; Mammalia; Carnivora; Felidae
Exons: 4
Source: RefSeq, a predicted model, not a curated record
CCAAAGUGGGCUCUGCACUGACAGCAACGAGCCCGAUGUGGGACUCCAACUCACGAACCCAGAUCAUGACUUGAGCUGAAGUCAGAUGCUCCACUGACUGAGCCCGCCAGGCGCCCCAGGAGCACAAAUUCCUUAAGCUGAAGGGUGUUUUGCCCCCACACUCCCCCUUCCCUCACCCUACCUGGGUAUACGUGUGUGGUGAAACAUUCUGAGUCCUAAUACUAAUCACGAGUUAGGUUUCCCAUAAGAAUGAUAAAAGAAUAAAGAUUUCCUUCUAAGAAUUCUUGAAAGGAUUACCCAGAGAUUAUUAUUUUUUUUUCUUUUGGGAAGUUUGAAUUACGGCUUUAGGAAAACCGCCAAGUAGGGGGAGAAGGGAUGGGAAAUGAGAAAUGUACUCAGUCACUAAAGAGUGGUUUCAGAGGCUUUAUAGGUACGCAGUGCUGAAGAGACGAAUAGCACACUUUACUCAAGUCGGGUUUUCUCUGGUUAAUUACAGUAGAACGCUAUGGUGUCAGGAGCCACCGAGCCAGUCGUGGAUGACUCACCCCACUUAAUCCAAACCACAGGACUGACAAAUGAUUAAUUCCGGUCGUCAGAUGAUUAGCCCUAUUCAUGGGGUCACAACCUUGCCUGCCACUAACUUGCACCUAAACUCCUCAGGAAAGGGCAAGAGAAAAGAAAGCCACUGUAAUUUGGAGACAAGACUUUUCCAGACAACUAUGAACAACAGCAACCAUAGCGCGCCACUAAACAGAGCUGUGUUGUGGAGACGUGGAGAGCAGUAAGACAUCUGUGGGGUACAUAGAGUAGAUGCAAAUAGAAUCUUCAAAAGAGUGUCGGCAUGAAUUCUAGAGAAAACUAAGUGCUUGCAAACUCACUUAUAAUAAACAUUUAAAACAUGGGUCAAAAAGUGUUUCCUGGAAUUAGAGAGUCAAUUAAAUGGGGACAAAAUUUAGAAGAUACGUAUAUAUCUAUAUAUCUUGUCUCUCUCUCUCUCUGUCUCUCUCUCUC